This 399-nucleotide ribosomal RNA is filed under the name uncultured Pseudomonadota bacterium. Its description in RNAcentral is "bacterial SSU rRNA". It matches the Rfam family "Bacterial small subunit ribosomal RNA", at positions 53 to 497 of the family's 1533-position model. The record is from RNAcentral. Lineage: Bacteria; Pseudomonadati; Pseudomonadota.
ACAUGCAAGUCGAACGAAGUAGCAAUACUUAGUGGCAGACGGGUGAGUAACAUGUAGGUAUCUACCCUUUGGCCUGGAAUAACACGAGGAAACUUGUGCUAAUACCAGAUAAGUCUUUACGGAGAAAGCUUUAUGCACCAUUGGAUGAGCCUGCACUUGAUUAGUUUGUUGGUGGGGUAAUGGCCUACCAAGACUUUGAUCAAUAGCUGAUUUGAGAGGAUGAUCAGCCACAUUGGGACUGAGACACGGCCCAAACUCCUACGGGAGGCAGCAGUGGGGAAUCUUGCACAAUGGAGGAAACUCUGAUGCAGCGAUGCCGCGUGAGUGAAGAAGGCCCUUGGGUUGUAAAGCUCUUUCGUCGGGGAAGAAAAUGACUGUACCCGAAUAAGAAGGUCCGGC